RNAcentral lists this long non-coding RNA (226 nucleotides) under Ananas comosus (pineapple). Its description in RNAcentral is "long non-coding RNA (ACOM_LNC039841)". The record is from RNAcentral. Lineage: Eukaryota; Viridiplantae; Streptophyta; Magnoliopsida; Poales; Bromeliaceae.
UAACUCGGAUAGAUUCGUUCUUCCCCCUAUAGUCAAAACAAUCAUUGACCAAACGUAUAUUUUCCAAAUUGUUGUUGAUUCACAAAGCUUUAGAUCAGGCACGCCAUCUUUUAAAGUCCUCAAAAUUUUUACCCUAAACAAUGAUUCAAGAGGAAAGGGUCAGAAUAGAGAUAAUAUAUUGAUAAAAUAUGAAGACCAACGUGCGUUAACUGCCAAUAAAAGGCAA